RNAcentral lists this ribosomal RNA (1775 nucleotides) under Salmonella enterica subsp. enterica serovar Anatum. RNAcentral's name for it is "partial 23S ribosomal RNA". It matches the Rfam family "Bacterial large subunit ribosomal RNA", at positions 690 to 2364 of the family's 2925-position model. The record is from RNAcentral. Lineage: Bacteria; Pseudomonadati; Pseudomonadota; Gammaproteobacteria; Enterobacterales; Enterobacteriaceae.
GGGCGUUAAGUUGCAGGGUAUAGACCCGAAACCCGGUGAUCUAGCCAUGGGCAGGUUGAAGGUUGGGUAACACUAACUGGAGGACCGAACCGACUAAUGUUGAAAAAUUAGCGGAUGACCUGUGGCUGGGGGUGAAAGGCCAAUCAAACCGGGAGAUAGCUGGUUCUCCCCGAAAGCUAUUUAGGUAGCGCCUCGUGAAUUCAUCUCCGGGGGUAGAGCACUGUUUCGGCUAGGGGGCCAUCCCGGCUUACCAACCCGAUGCAAACUGCGAAUACCGGAGAAUGUUAUCACGGGAGACACACGGCGGGUGCUAACGUCCGUCGUGAAGAGGGAAACAACCCAGACCGCCAGCUAAGGUCCCAAAGUCAUGGUUAAGUGGGAAACGAUGUGGGAAGGCCCAGACAGCCAGGAUGUUGGCUUAGAAGCAGCCAUCAUUUAAAGAAAGCGUAAUAGCUCACUGGUCGAGUCGGCCUGCGCGGAAGAUGUAACGGGGCUAAACCAUGCACCGAAGCUGCGGCAGCGAACGUAUCACUUAAAGCGAUUCAGCGGGUUACGAUUGACGGAGCGAAGCGACGUCAAAGCGUAUACAAAGUCGAGUCGGUUUAAGGAUACGUUCGUUGGGUAGGGGAGCGUUCUGUAAGCCUGCGAAGGUGGCCUGUGAGGGUUGCUGGAGGUAUCAGAAGUGCGAAUGCUGACAUAAGUAACGAUAAAGCGGGUGAAAAGCCCGCUCGCCGGAAGACCAAGGGUUCCUGUCCAACGUUAAUCGGGGCAGGGUGAGUCGACCCCUAAGGCGAGGCCGAAAGGCGUAGUCGAUGGGAAACGGGUUAAUAUUCCCGUACUUGGUGUUACUGCGAAGGGGGGACGGAGAAGGCUAUGUUGGCCGGGCGACGGUUGUCCCGGUUUAAGCGUGUAGGUGUGUGUUCCAGGUAAAUCCGGUUCACUUUAACACUGAGGCGUGAUGACGAGGCACUACGGUGCUGAAGCAACAAAUGCCCUGCUUCCAGGAAAAGCCUCUAAGCAUCAGGUAACAUCAAAUCGUACCCCAAACCGACACAGGUGGUCAGGUAGAGAAUACCAAGGCGCUUGAGAGAACUCGGGUGAAGGAACUAGGCAAAAUGGUGCCGUAACUUCGGGAGAAGGCACGCUGACACGUAGGUGAAGUGAUUUACUCAUGGAGCUGAAGUCAGUCGAAGAUACCAGCUGGCUGCAACUGUUUAUUAAAAACACAGCACUGUGCAAACACGAAAGUGGACGUAUACGGUGUGACGCCUGCCCGGUGCCGGAAGGUUAAUUGAUGGGGUCAGCGCAAGCGAAGCUCCUGAUCGAAGCCCCGGUAAACGGCGGCCGUAACUAUAACGGUCCUAAGGUAGCGAAAUUCCUUGUCGGGUAAGUUCCGACCUGCACGAAUGGCGUAAUGAUGGCCAGGCUGUCUCCACCCGAGACUCAGUGAAAUUGAACUCGCUGUGAAGAUGCAGUGUACCCGCGGCAAGACGGAAAGACCCCGUGAACCUUUACUAUAGCUUGACACUGAACAUUGAGCCUUGAUGUGUAGGAUAGGUGGGAGGCUUUGAAGCGUGGACGCCAGUCUGCGUGGAGCCGACCUUGAAAUACCACCCUUUAAUGUUUGAUGUUCUAACGUGGACCCGUAAUCCGGGUUGCGGACAGUGUCUGGUGGGUAGUUUGACUGGGGCGGUCUCCUCCUAAAGAGUAACGGAGGAGCACGAAGGUUGGCUAAUCCUGGUCGGACAUCAGGAGGUUAGUGCAAUGGCAUAAGC